UCAGGCAGGACAAGGGGAGGAGCAGGAGCCUGUCAGGAGCAGAGGAUGGACCAGUAACGGAGAGUUCACCAUUUGCCUAGACAGCAGGAAAGGAGCUGGGGUCAGUGUAGGCUCUUCCCCAGGGACAGGAGCUGGGGACCAAGGCCCCAAACCAUUCACUCCUAAGCACACGGCCCUCCGCCUUACCCUGGGAUGGCCCGAGGGAGACCGAAUUUCUCAGACUUUCAAGGAGCUCACAGCGGCAGGAAAGGCAUGCAGUGAGUUGUCCAGUGCUUCCAAGACCAGUGGGAUCCCCGCGGCUGCUGCAGGAAUCUGAGAUCCUGUCUGGGCCUCAGAACCUGACGGUCACAGUGCACCAAAUGGCAGUGCUGUAGUGCAUCGCCACUGGCCGCCCGCAGCCACCUGUCUCCUGGAGCCGUCUGGGUGUGCACCACCCGCCAGCGUCCCGGCCCCCUGGCCCUUGCCUCUUCCCAGCCCUGACCCGUCGCCUCCCUGCAGACGGCUGCUCCAUCAGCGUGGAGGGCUUCCAGGUCCUGGGCACCAGGAACCUCAUGAUCUCUGACAUGUCGGUCCAGCACUCGGGCGUCUAUGUCUGAGCUGCCAACUGGCUAGGCACGCGUGUCCGGUGCACAGCGCAGGGCGUGCUGCUUAUGCAGGCCCAGGGAGUCCCUGAGCCCCGUCUGGUGUGGCUGAAGAAUGGGAAGAUGCUGAGUCCUGGGGAUGACAUUUGGCUGCCCCACAACAAAAGCACACUGAUGCUGGCAGGGGUCUCUGUCGAGGACAAGGCCAUCUACCAAUGUGUGGCAGAGAACAGCGUGGGCUCCAACCAGGCCAGCGCCCGCCUGGCUGUGACAGGGGACCCAGAGCCACCCCCUGCCCCCAGGGGCCGGCAGGCAGUAGGUCUCUCCACUUCUGCCAUUUGAGUGUCCUGGGAACCAUGGCCCUCCAACAGGGACAUCAUUGGCUACGUGUGUGGGAGGUAGGUGUGGCAGGGUGGACAGGCAUCCCUGGCUCCAGCCCCCCUCUGCUCCUGCCCGGCCCGGGGGAGCUUCCUCUCGUUCUCCAUGACCCCAGGCCUGUCUGGACUCUUGCUGGGCUUCUGGGUCUGUGGUUCUCUGGUGCCCCCUUAUGCUCCUCAGCCCCUUUCGCACCCUCGGCCUUUCCCAUCCCAGCUCCAACUUCUGCAGCCCCUUCCUUGCUUCCUUGGAGGCUUGGCUGGCCCAGUCUGGCACCAGGAAGAGUUUUGUGAGGGUGGGGUGUUCGAGGUGAGGGAGAGGGAGGCUGAGUCGCCGAGCUGCUCUGCUCCUCAGUGCCAGCCGGCCUAGAGUUCCAGGAGGCUGUGGGCAAAGGCACCUCUGGGCAUGUCUUCUCCAACCUGAAGCCUGCCACAGCUGCCUCCAUCCACAUGUGCGCCCACUCAGCAGAGGGUGCCAGCCAGGACUCUGCCUCCAUCCAUGCCUCCACCACAGGUGGUAGUGAGUGCCCACCUCCCCAGUCCUAGAGCCCCAGGCCUCAGGCAGGCAGGGCAGGGGCUGCUGACCAGCUCAUCCCAUUUCCUCUGCAGCCCCUACUGCCCUGGGCUUCUCCACCAAAGUGCUUAAUGCUGCCUCCGUGCAGGCCUCCUGGGAGCUGCCACCCCAGCUGGGGUCCAUCCAGGAUUUCAAACUUUUCCACUGCAAGCUGCCAGCUACCCAUUUUGAGGGGCCCCUGCUCCUGGCUAACAGUGUCAGCUCUUUCCUCUACACAAUUCUGGAUGAGGCCCUGGACCUUUUUGUGUUAUCCCUGGGCCCCCCAUCUCAGUGUGGUCUUGCCCUGGGCACUGAGCUUCCUGGCCCACAAAGGCCUGUUCCCUUCACAAUCUCCUCCACACAGAGCCAGCUGCCUUCUAUGAGAUCAAGCUCCAGGCAUUUAAUGGCCACAGGGAUGGUAACAGCAGUGCCCACCUCGUCUCUUUGUGUGAUGUGCCGCUGGCCACCCCUGAGUGCAAGCUUGGGUGCUCUUGCAGCCAGGAUGCGAGCAGC
Molecule: non-coding RNA, 2021 nt
Organism: Manis javanica (Malayan pangolin)
Lineage: Eukaryota; Metazoa; Chordata; Mammalia; Pholidota; Manidae
Source: RefSeq, a predicted model, not a curated record